GAUGAACGCUGGCGGCGUGCCUAAUACAUGCAAGUCGAGCGAAUGGAUUAAGAGCUUGCUCUUAUGAAGUUAGCGGCGGACGGGUGAGUAACACGUGGGUAACCUGCCCAUAAGACUGGGAUAACUCCGGGAAACCGGGGCUAAUACCGGAUAACAUUUUGAACCGCAUGGUUCGAAAUUGAAAGGCGGCUUCAGCUGUCACUUAUGGAUGGACCCGCGUCGCAUUAGCUAGUUGGUGAGGUAACGGCUCACCAAGGCAACGAUGCGUAGCCGGCCUGAGCGGGUGCUCGGCCACACUGGGACUGAGACACGGCGCAGACUCCUACGGGAGGCAGCAGUAGGGAAUCUUCCGCAAUGGACGAAAGUCUGACGGAGCAACGCCGCGUGAGUGAUGAAGGCUUUCGGGUCGUAAAACUCUGUUGUUAGGGAAGAACAAGUGCUAGUUGAAUAAGCUGGCACCUUGACGGUACCUAACCAGAAAGCCACGGCUAACUACGUGCCAGCCGCCGCGGUAA
Molecule: ribosomal RNA, 515 nt
Filed under: uncultured bacterium
Lineage: Bacteria
Description: partial 16S ribosomal RNA
Rfam family: Bacterial small subunit ribosomal RNA
Source: RNAcentral